This 286-nucleotide unclassified non-coding RNA is filed under the name Hevea brasiliensis (rubber tree). Lineage: Eukaryota; Viridiplantae; Streptophyta; Magnoliopsida; Malpighiales; Euphorbiaceae. The record is from RNAcentral.
GCUUUUGGUCACCAAAAGAACACAUUGGUAAUUCUUGGCUUGGAUGGAAGCUUCUAUCGAUGUCAGUUUGACCCAGUGAAUGGUGGAGAGAUGACUCAACUGGAAUAUCACAACUUCUUGAAGCCGAAGCCAGAAGCAGCUUUCUGAAAGGACGUUCACAUUUCAAUUUCUUAUGGAUAUAUCUUGUACUUUUCUUCUCUUUUCUUUUUGGCGUUUACCCCCUAAUUAACUUAAAUGUAGAAAUGGCUGCUUUAUGUUGUAAAUAUGUAAAUAUGGAUUUGGAAAG